UCCUCUUGAUCUUCCUCUUCAUUCUGCUCAUCUCCAGAAUCCUGAUUUUGUGGAGGGGGUGGUGGAGGAGGCUGCUGAUUUUGCUGUUCUGGUGGACUCUCAUUUAUGAUUGAACGAGGAAGAAUAACCAGUUCCACAGCUUUUUUCAGGUCAUCCACAUUGACUUUUUCACGUCCUUCAAGAGCAGCCAAGCAUUUUGCCACGCGAGCAGCAUAUAGCUCAGCUCUGUGUCCCUGGCAGCCACCUCGAAGGGCUUCCAUAA
RNAcentral lists this unclassified non-coding RNA (262 nucleotides) under Hevea brasiliensis (rubber tree). Lineage: Eukaryota; Viridiplantae; Streptophyta; Magnoliopsida; Malpighiales; Euphorbiaceae. The record is from RNAcentral.